UUUUGUAGAAUCACUGGUGAAUAAGGGGUGGGCAAGUUCUGGUGUCAGCCGCCGCGGUAAAACCAGCACCUCGAGUGGUCAGGAGGUUUAUUGGGCCUAAAGCAUCCGUAGCCGGUUGCAUAAGUUUUCGGUUAAAUCUAUGCGCUUAACGUAUAGGCCGCCGAAAAUACUGUGCAGCUAGGGAGUGGGAGAGGUACACGGUACUCGAUAGGAAGGGGUAAAAUCCUUUGAUCUAUUGAUGACCACCUGUGGCGAAGGCGGUGUACCAGAACACGUUCGACGGUGAGGGAUGAAAGCUGGGGGAGCAAACCGGAUUAGAUACCCGGGUAGUCCCAGCUGUAAACGAUGCAGACUCGGUGAUGCAUUGGCUUGUGGCCAAUGCAGUGCCGCAGGGAAGCCGUUAAGUCUGCCGCCUGGGAAGUACGUACGCAAGUAUGAAACUUAAAGGAAUUGGCGGGGGAGCACCACAAGGGGUGAAGCCUGCGGUUCAAUUGGAGUCAACGCCAGAAAUCUUACCUGGGGAGACAGCAGAAUGAAGGUCAAGCUGAAGACUUUACCAGACACGCUGAGAGGUGGUGCAUGGCCGUCGCCAGCUCGUGCCGUGAGAUGUCCUGUUAAGUCAGGUAACGAGCGAGACCCCUGCGUCUAGUUGCUACCAUUACUCUCUGGAGCAGUGGAGCGAAUUAGACGGACCGCCACAGUUAAUGUGGAGGAAGGAAGGGGCCACGGCAGGUCAGUAUGCCCCGAAACCCUAGGGCUACACGCGGGCUGCAAUGGUAUUGACAAUGUGUUCCGAAUCCGAAAGGAGGAGGCAAUCAUCAAACAAUAUCUCAGUUAUGACUGAGGG
Molecule: ribosomal RNA, 847 nt
Filed under: uncultured archaeon
Lineage: Archaea
Description: bacterial SSU rRNA
Rfam family: Archaeal small subunit ribosomal RNA
Source: RNAcentral